UACAUUUAACGGUAUAAUUAGAAGGAACGAGAGCAUUACUCCUUACAUUGUGAACCCCAUAGAAGAAACAGGUGAAUAUAACAACAUUACCAAUAUUGAUUCUGAAAGUAGUAGUGACGAUAAUGAGUUGAAUAGUUUGGAAAAAGUGUCUAGUAGGCAAAAUGUUAACGAAAUGGGGAAUGAUAAUGAAGUGCAAAAUGUAAAGGAUGUGCAAGACAUAAAUGUUGAGAAAACUAGGGAAGACACACAAAAAGAAAAGGAUGUACAAGAUAUUGAGGGUGAGGGUGAUGGUGAAAAAAAUGAAGAAGAAGCAAAAAAUGUAAAGGAUGAACAGUACCCUAAAGAUGAUACUCCACGAGUACAAAUCAUUACAGAUACUAACACAAAUGAAGAAGCAUUACAUAAUUUAGAAAAUGAAAAAAAAGAAAAUGAGUACCAAAAAAUAGAAUCAUGUUUUGUAAAUCCCCAAGAAAAAAAUAACAAAAUGGACGUACCAAAUGCUAUAUAUACAAAAUUUAACGAUUUGUUUUUUAAUCGUUUUGUUAUGAAAAAAGAAGAACAAAAUUUAUAUAAUGACCAGAUAAUACAAAUGAAUAAUAUGACUCAAAAUAUGGACGAAACUAAAUCACCUAACUAUAACACAGAAGAAGAAAAAAGAAACUUAAAUAAUUUAAAAAAACAACAGUCAUCAUUAGAUGUAACAAUUAACAAACUUGGCAGUAUAAAAAAUAAUAAUGAAAAAAAUGAAUAUACUACUAAUACUACUUUAAAUGUAUUAUCAAGUAAUUCACAAAUAAAUAACCUAAAUGCAUUGUAUAAGUCAAAAACAUUAAGUACCGAGUUAGGAACACAUGAAGAUAUCAACAAUCUAGUAAAUUAUAAGACAAGUGUAAAAAUGAGAUUAAACAGUUCAAUAGGAUAUGUAAGUGCAGAUAAUGAUAAAAAUGUAAACAUAACACCUAGGACUUUUACUGAUGCUAUACCUACUAAUGAAAACUCAAAAAGUAGAAAUCGAAGUAUAAAACAAUCAAAAAAAAACAUAAUGGACAUACUAAAUAAUAAAGUAAAUAUUAAUUCUUUAAAUUAUAUAGAACAUAGUACACCAAAAUAUGUCAAAUAUAAUACUCUUCACAGAGAAAUCAAAAACCCCCGCCAACAACUCUCAAAUCCAAACAAAAACCCAAUCAACCAUAUGGUGUGUUUAUAAUUGAAAAUUAUUAUAUACAUAUGUAACCCCAUCACUGGAAUUUUUCUUAUUGAAAUUUGGUUCGAUUUGAAAAAUGAAUUAUGAACAUUUUUGUUCUAAUUCAUUAUGUAAAAUU
This 1322-nucleotide long non-coding RNA is filed under the name Piliocolobus tephrosceles (Ugandan red Colobus). RNAcentral describes it as "lncRNA (ENSPTEG00000012860.1)". Lineage: Eukaryota; Metazoa; Chordata; Mammalia; Primates; Cercopithecidae. The record is from RNAcentral.